This 2775-nucleotide long non-coding RNA is filed under the name Capsicum annuum. RNAcentral describes it as "long non-coding RNA (CANN_LNC006469)". The record is from RNAcentral. Lineage: Eukaryota; Viridiplantae; Streptophyta; Magnoliopsida; Solanales; Solanaceae.
UUUUGUUUAAGCUCGUUCAUUUCCUCAUCAUUUGUUGUCACUGAUCUACCAUAGCCUCUAACUGACCAGGCUUCUCCUUUCCAAACACUGCUGUGAAUGCAUUAUCUGGUGUUCUCACAGCAUUUUGAUGAUUCUGAAGUUGGGACAGUCAAAAAAGAAAAAAAAUAGUUGUCAGGAGAAGAAAUAAUUUAGUAUAUAUAAAAUAUAUUUCAAAGAAAAAGAAGGAUCCUCCUCAGUCCGAGGAAAGAAAAAGAAUGCUCUAUAGAUACCUCACUAUUCCUCAUACCACUCUCAUGGGCUUUGAGAACAAUGACAAGAGAGCUUGGGUUGCAAGAAUUAUGCAGGCUUCAAAUAGCAAGAGUAUAGAUACAGCUCUAAAUGUUUUAGGAUCAAAUAACAAUGGAGAAACAUUCUUGGUAUCAGUUUCACUAACACUAUGCUUUCUCAUUGGAGCCUGGAUGGCUAACAACACUAUUUUUAAGAGUAUAAUAAUCUAUGGUGACACAAGGCCAGAAAAGAUGCUCCUUUUUACCAGAAAAACAUCUAUUGUUUCUCUCUAGUCAGAUACUAUCACAAAGUGCAACUUAGUACUGCAUUCUAGUAGAAACUAUUUCCCAUAUUUGAUGACUGAUUGUGCGGACUGUUUAAGGCUUGUUUGAUGACACUUUCUUGCAUGAUUUAUUGACUCCAAAAAAUUCCAAGAAACAUAUAUCUUAACUGUCUGAAACAUUCGUGAAGCUAGGCAAGGGACGCAAUACAUGUAAGACAGGCAACUCUGAGAGGGAGCAAUAGUUUUCCAGAUUAUCCCCCAUGGACAUUUUUCAGGAUUUCGUACCAUUUUAAGAAUUAAACUUUUAUGACAUACCUUGACUGAAAAUUUUGUACCACUCCAUAGGAAAGAAUCAGAUAACUGUUCAUCAGUCCUAGCAGUGUUUAGCUUCUAAGCUAUUAACUACUAACUUUGGAAAUGAAUUUAGUUAUCAGUUAUCCUUAGCUCUUUUGACUUUAGCACCUGGAUUUUAAAGGGCAGAAACCAAUUCAAAAAUGUGACGACACCUAAACAUUCCAGAAGUAACUAAAAAUAGGAAAAGACCUACAAAAUAAGGUUCACUCUAAAAGAUGGCCAAUCCUCCAUAGUCUAUACAAAAAGAAGCUACAUAGGUGCACCAAAAGAAAAGUAUGACAGAAUAUUUUUAAAGCUCAAAGCAACAAGAGCAUUGAUUAAAAGUACAAUUUUAGUAUAUCUGCAAUAGUGACGAUACCAGUUAACCACAUUGGAGAAAUAUGAACAAAAAUUAUCAACACAACACAAACUAAUGUACAAUUUCCAUAAAGAAGCUACAUCGUAAUUAGCAAACAACAUUUAUUUGAUUUCCUAUCAGUUGAAAAGGAUAUGAUUGGGUGCUUAGAUUGAGAUAUCAAAGCAUGAGUAAUUGGUAACUAUAUUCUGAAAGUGGUUUACAUGUGUAUAGAAAUAGGGGAGAACAUCCAAAGGCUAGAUGCUACAAAAGCUCAAACGCACCGGUAACAUAAGACAAUUAUUUGUUUUCUUUGAUGAAGAAAAACUGAUAUACCUUAUUUUUCUUCCUUAUUUGUUUUGAUAAGAAAACAAGUUUAUACAGAAAGAAGGUAUAUGGGAUGCAUCCUGCAAACCAUGUAGGAAAGUUGUCUGCAAAAAAUGCAGGUAUUACCAAAGAAGUCGAGAACAUUAUACCAAUGCACUACUGUCCCAACAGAAGUUCUCACUUUUUAUUGCUAAUCUUCAAUUGCCUCAGUUUAUUCCGUUUAAACAAUCAAUAGUGUUUAUUAUGUUCACAUAAACACUUCAAGAAUGCCCCGAACACAUUGAAAAUCUAACUUAUUGAAGUAUGCCAGCAUUGUAGGUUCAUUAAAGAGCCUACUGCUUUGGACUACAUAUAAACUUUUGUAAAGAGUCAGCAUAAUAGGUUUAAGAAUUUGAAACAAAACCAUGGGAAAUACUGCUUUGGACUGCAUAUAAAUUGCUCUAACACAAAAAAAACCUAUUGCUUUCAUAAUUCAUGAUUCAAAAUAGAGAGAUACCAGACAACAAGUGACUACUAAGAAUAUAGGAACAAAGAGUGGAAUGCAUAUACACAACUCACAAGAGCAUCCACUAAUUCUUUCCCAAAUUCCCACUAAUAACACUAGAUAAUACCGGUUGAAAGUGGAAACCUAAAUUAAAGAAAGGGAAAUUACUGCUAUAAGAAUAAGUUAAUGACAAUAGGAUUUUAAAAUUACGGCAUAAUAUUUGAAAAAUAGGAUGAUCUUUAAAUAGUAUUUGGUUCAUCAUGCAUCAAAUAGGAUUUUCCUGCCCGUAUUUGGAUUACGAUAUAUAUGGUUCAUCAUGCAUUAAAUAGUAUAACUAGGAAACAUUUAUCCGAAAAGUAGGCUUCAAAUAGUUCAGCAUCCAGUGAGAAUUUUGGUUGUAACGGGUUGAAUACUCAAACACCAGUUGCAUUGGAUCUGCAAUAAAUCCCAUAAUGAUUAGCAAUUUUAUUUUUACACUAACAAAGUACUCAAAUCUUUAUCUACUAAACAUUAUUUUCUAGUAGGGCUGGUGGUAUUAGUUUCUAAAGAAGCUCAAUCCAUCGAGCUAGGAAAAAGAAAAAGAAUGAUUAAAUUUUGAAACUUAGCUUGAGUGGUGGAGAAACAGAGAAUGGUUUCGGGACACCAUGAAAACUACAUCGACGGAGAAAAGCUCUGAAGUUUACACAUAUAGCCGGAGAGCAUGAAAAGGCAACAAGAGAAAGGACC